Molecule: ribosomal RNA, 629 nt
Filed under: uncultured bacterium
Lineage: Bacteria
Description: bacterial SSU rRNA
Rfam family: Bacterial small subunit ribosomal RNA (bases 1-540)
Source: RNAcentral
CCUACGGGAGGCAGCAGUGGGGAAUUUUGGACAAUGGGCGCAAGCCUGAUCCAGCAAUGCCGCGUGAGUGAAGAAGGCCUUCGGGCUGUAAAGCUCUUUUGUCAGGGAAGAAACGGUGGGGGCUAAUAUCCCUUGCUAAUGACGGUACCUGAAGAAUAAGCACCGGCUAACUACGUGCCAGCAGCCGCGGUAAUACGUAGGGUGCAAGCGUUAAUCGGAAUUACUGGGCGUAAAGCGUGCGCAGGCGGUUUUGUAAGUCUGUCGUGAAAGCCCCGGGCUUAACCUGGGAAUUGCGAUGGAGACUGCAAGGCUUGAAUCUGGCAGAGGGGGGUAGAAUUCCACGUGUAGCAGUGAAAUGCGUAGAGAUGUGGAGGAACACCGAUGGCGAAGGCAGCCCCCUGGGUCAAGAUUGACGCUCAUGUACGAAAGCGUGGGGAGCAAACAGGAUUAGAUACCCUGGUAGUCCACGCCCUAAACGAUGUCUACUAGUUGUCGGGUCUUAAUUGACUUGGUAACGCAGCUACGCGUGAGUAGACCGCCGNGGGAGGUACGGUCGGUCGAGAGUUAAACGUACGAAGGAAGUUAGACGGCGUUGAGACGUUGCCGACGGACGACGACGAGGGAGGAGG